This 1945-nucleotide long non-coding RNA is filed under the name Pongo abelii (Sumatran orangutan). RNAcentral's name for it is "lincRNA". Lineage: Eukaryota; Metazoa; Chordata; Mammalia; Primates; Hominidae. The record is from RNAcentral.
GAGAGGGUGCCCGCGGCCGCAGCUGAAGUUGGGCCGAGAGCCGGCGACGGCCCCGCGCCGGGGUCGCAGACCUGCAGGAGUUGAGGGCUGCACCUGCUCGCUGGAGAGGGAGAGGCAGAUUUAGUGGACGCCUGGCAUGGACUCGGACUGGCCUUUGGAAGCUCCCUGUUCUGACGGGGUUGCCUGUCACCACUGCGAACUGAGGCUUGGCAGGACCUGCACCUGAGAAAGGCUAUGUGUGGUCUUGGGGUCCACACAUGCAGAGCUGACUUACUGCCAGAGGGCGACUUACUGUGGGCCACCCUCAGUGAACCAGGGUGUCCUCAGCCGGCCCUACAGAGCACUUCUGUGCUGGGGAUGAGUAGGAACUCUGGGCAAGGAGGGUCCCAGCACCGCCCCUCAGUACAGCCUGGCUCUGCCCUCUGCCUGUACUUAUACCAGGUGGGAUCCCUGCCCUGCAUUCUCUGGGGAUUGGCUGGGCUUAGGCUCACCCUGCUGUGGAGCUGGAUGUUUUCAGGGAGCCCAGCCUUUCCUCAUGUAAGCAUAGUUCACAAGAGAGUUUUCAAAGUACAGUUUAAAACUCAAAAGUAAACUUUUUAGCAACUCAAAGGUUUGCUGAGGGAUCUGAAGCACUCUGGGCACUUUUUGGGGCCAUGGGAUUUGGUUCACCUGAAACAGCCAGUGAGAGGCUGGGCACGGUGGCUCACACCCGUAAUCCCAACACUUGGGGAGGCAGAGGCGGGUGAUCGCUCACUUGAGAUCAGGAGUUUAAGAUCAGCCUGGGCAACAUGGUGAAACCUCGUCUCAAAAAUACAAAAAUUAGCUAGGCAUGGUGGUGGGCACCUGUAAUGCCAGCUACUUGGAAGGCUGAGGCAAGAGAAUCGCUUGAACCUGGGAGGUGGAGGUUGCAGUGAGAUGAGAUUACGCCACUGCAGUCCAGCCUGGGUGACAAGAGAGACUCUGCCUCAAAAAAAUAAAAAAACGAAACACCCAGUGAGGAGGAAGGCUCCUCGCCUUCCCCCUGCCAGAACAUAGCUGGUGCUGGGACACCCUCUUGGUGAGGAAGAAGGCUGGUUAGCUUCAUCAGAGCCAGCAGCAGCAGACCAGGGACGGGCACCUAGGCAGUGGCCUCAGAAGGAACAGGUGUUCCUCAAAAACAGACACAGGAACAGCAUGGCGCAUGCUCUGCCAGCUCCAUGCCUCCUUCCCAUUGUGGGGCUGGGGUAUGUAGGGCAGAGCUCAUGACCCCCGGGAGGACAUGGGGGUGGGCUCUGGAUGGCACCUGGCAUUGCCCCCUGCUGCCCUAUGUGAUGGUGUGGAGGGCUGGUCACAGAGGUACGACCAUCCCUCCAGAAUGUGGGUGGGGGCUGUGGAUGGAGGAGUAGGCCCCUCAGACCCCAGGCCUGCUGCCCAGGCACAACCCAUUUGGCCUAUGCAUUCCAGGCUCCACCCCCUGUGACCCUGGGCUUAGCCCCUUCUGGGGCCACAGCUCAGGCAGGUCCAGGCCCCCAAGGACCUCCCAGGGACAGGCAGCUGUGAGCUGGGCACACAGGAGUGAGGUCAGGUGGGGGUUCCGGCUUGCUGACACCAGUGUUUGGAGCCUCCCGCUGCUGCAUUCCUUGUUCCCCGCCUCAGCCAAGAAAAAACCAAGCUGAGUUGCCUCUGCACCGUAGUGAGCUCCUGGUGGCCCUGGCCUCUGGGGAGCACUGUGGAUGGCUUCCUUGCCCAAGUUCAGGCCUUCUUGUUCCCUUUGUGUGCUCCAGAGAAAGGGGGCAGCACCAGAUCCAGAUCCAGGGCCAACCAAUAGAAAGCUGGGUCCAUCCCAAACUCGCCCACUCUCAAAGCACAAAGACCCCAUGAUGUAGGGCAAGCUUGUCCAACUGUCAGCCCAUGGAACAGCUUUGAAUGCAGCCCAACACAAAUCUAUACAUUUUCUUAAACAUUG